RNAcentral lists this ribosomal RNA (792 nucleotides) under uncultured bacterium. Its description in RNAcentral is "bacterial SSU rRNA". It matches the Rfam family "Bacterial small subunit ribosomal RNA", at positions 59 to 848 of the family's 1533-position model. The record is from RNAcentral.
CAGUCGAACGGAACUGUUUUGAAAGAUUUCUUCGGAAUGAAUUUGAUUUAGUUUCGUUGCGGACGGGUGAGUAACGCGUGAGUAACCUGCCUUCAAGAGGGGAAUAACAUUCUGAAAAGAAUGCUAAUACCGCAUGACAUAUCGGAACCACAUGGUUUUGAUAUCAAAGAUUUUAUCGCUUGAAGAUGGACUCGCGUCCGAUUAGUUAGUUGGUGAGGUAACGGCUCACCAAGACCGCGAUCGGUAGCCGGACUGAGAGGUUGAACGGCCACAUUGGGACUGAGACACGGCCCAGACUCCUACGGGAGGCAGCAGUGGGGGAUAUUGCGCAAUGGGGGCAACCCUGACGCAGCAACGCCGCGUGAAGGAUGAAGGUUUUCGGAUUGUAAACUUCUUUUAUUAAGGACGAAAAAUGACGGUACUUAAUGAAUAAGCUCCGGCUAACUACGUGCCAGCAGCCGCGGUAAUACGUAGGGAGCAAGCGUUGUCCGGAUUUACUGGGUGUAAAGGGUGCGUAGGCGGCUUUGCAAGUCAGAUGUGAAAUCUAUGGGCUCAACCCAUAAACUGCAUUUGAAACUGUAGAGCUUGAGUGAAGUAGAGGCAGGCGGAAUUCCCCGUGUAGCGGUGAAAUGCGUAGAGAUGGGGAGGAACACCAGUGGCGAAGGCGGCCUGCUGGGCUUUAACUGACGCUGAGGCACGAAAGCGUGGGUAGCAAACAGGAUUAGAUACCCUGGUAGUCCACGCUGUAAACGAUGAUUACUAGGUGUGGGGGGUCUGACCCCUUCCGUGCCG